Molecule: ribosomal RNA, 233 nt
Filed under: uncultured bacterium
Lineage: Bacteria
Description: partial 16S ribosomal RNA
Rfam family: Bacterial small subunit ribosomal RNA
Source: RNAcentral
CGAACGGGUGAGUAACACGUGGGCAACCUGCCCUCAGCUCUGGGAUAACUCCGGGAAACCGGUGCUAAUACUGGAUAUCGACUUCUGCUCGCAUGGGUGGUUGUUGAAAGUUUUUCGGCUGGGGAUGGGCCCGCGGCCUAUCAGCUUGUUGGUGGGGUGAUGGCCUACCAAGGCGACGACGGGUAGCCGGCCUGAGAGGGCGACCGGCCACACUGGGACUGAGACACGGCCAG